CCUACGGGUGACAGCAGUGGGGAAUAUUGCUCAAUGGGGGAAAGCCUGAAGCAGCAACGCCGCGUGGAGGAUGAAGGUUUUCGGGUUGUAAACUCCUUUUGUUAGAGAAGAUAAUGACGGUAUCUAACGAAUAAGCACCGGCUAACUCCGUGCCAGCAGCGGCGGUAAUACGGAGGGUGCAAGCGUUAUACGGAAUCACUGGGCGUAAAGAGCGCGUAGGCGGGAUAGCAAGUCAGAUGUGAAAUCCUUUGGCUUAACCAUAGAACUGCAUUUGAAACUGUUAUUCUAGAGUAUGGGAGAGGUAGGUGGAAUUCUUGGUGUAGGGGUGAAAUCCGUAGAGAUCAAGAGGAAUACUCAUUGCGAAGGCGACCUGCUAGAACAUAACUGACGCUGAUGCGCGAAAGCGUGGGGAGCAAACAGGAUUAGAUACCCCAGUAGUC
This 440-nucleotide ribosomal RNA is filed under the name uncultured bacterium. RNAcentral's name for it is "partial 16S ribosomal RNA". It matches the Rfam family "Bacterial small subunit ribosomal RNA", at positions 338 to 795 of the family's 1533-position model. The record is from RNAcentral.